RNAcentral lists this transfer RNA (90 nucleotides) under bacterium. RNAcentral's name for it is "tRNA-Ser". It matches the Rfam family "tRNA". Rfam says of the family: Transfer RNA (tRNA) molecules are approximately 80 nucleotides in length. The record is from RNAcentral. RNAcentral also lists the same sequence under 3 other names.
GGAGGAGUGGGUGAGUGGCUGAAACCAGCACAUUGCUAAUGUGCCGUAUGGGAAACUGUACCGAGGGUUCGAAUCCCUCCUCCUCCGCCA